This 497-nucleotide ribosomal RNA is filed under the name uncultured bacterium. RNAcentral describes it as "partial 16S ribosomal RNA". It matches the Rfam family "Bacterial small subunit ribosomal RNA", at positions 28 to 507 of the family's 1533-position model. The record is from RNAcentral.
GAUGAACGCUGGCGGCGUGCCUAAUACAUGCAAGUCGAGCGAACAGAUAAGGAGCUUGCUCCUUUGACGUUAGCGGCGGACGGGUGAGUAACACGUGGGUAACCUACCUAUAAGACUGGGAUAACUUCGGGAAACCGGAGCUAAUACCGGAUAACAUUUGGAACCGCAUGGUUCUAAAGUGAAAGAUGGUUUUGCUAUCACUUAUAGAUGGACCCGCGCCGUAUUAGCUAGUUGGUAAGGUAACGGCUUACCAAGGCAACGAUACGUAGCCGACCUGAGAGGGUGAUCGGCCACACCGGAACUGAGACACGGUCCAGACUCCUACGGGAGGCAGCAGUAGGGAAUCUUCCGCAAUGGGCGAAAGCCUGACGGAGCAACGCCGCGUGAGUGAUGAAGGGUUUCGGCUCGUAAAACUCUGUUAUUAGGGAAGAACAAACGUGUAAGUAACUGUGCACGUCUUGACGGUACCUAAUCAGAAAGCCACGGCUAACUACGUG